ACGGCGUCCCUUUUCAGACUCCUUUUGGGAGCGGAGCAGCUGCACAGAGCCUGUGAGUGGGAAUUUUGCGUGUCCUUAUGUGGCCCCAAAUCUCUGAUGUUCUGAUGUGGCCUCAAAUCUCAGCCUCCCGUGAUGCCAGCUUUUCGAGGCUCCGACGAUCCACUCCCCGGAUCGAGGAAGACACGGGCCAAGAAUCCCAUCUGGGAGGAAGCACCGAGAGAGGAGGGGCGUGAGGUUGGAGGGCGGUGGGAGGGGAUGGGGGCAGACACAGGGGAGGCGGGGGUCCCCGGCCAGACCUAAGGACGCACGGGGUUUCCGCUGGACGGGGCGCCCACAGGGAGGCAGGCGGGGUGGUGGGGAGCAGGGACGUGAGCAGCCCCCGAGCACGCAACCGCGGGCGGGGGACUGCCGAGCUCCCAGGUGGGUGACAUCGAGCCUAGCCGCUUGUCUCUGCCUUGUGACGGUCUCAGGCCUUAGGUUAGGACGCUGAGUCCCUGGGAGGUCGUCUCGUUUGCUCAGCAUCACAGAGCGAGGCAGCGGUUCAACCGGAGUUCACAGACCCGUGCUGGGCACCUUGGGCGGCGGAGAGGCUGAAGACAGGCCGGCUCCUCCCCAGCAGGGACGCAUCGGCUGGCUCUGCCUCGGUGGCUCCCAGGUGCCCGAGCCACGUUCCUCCUGCCACUUCACAGACUCCGAGGACGGAUGGGCAGCCCCGGACUCCGCGAUGGGCCAGGCUGUGCCUCCCCGCCCCCCCCCGCCCCCCAAGUGUUAUUCAGCGACUGAGGGUUCCCCGGAUACUCUCUGGAGCUCGGCCAGUCACGGGCUCCCAGAGGGCACAGCUCCCGUCGUCCCCGCGGCUUUGCUCCUGCCACCCCCCCCCACCCCAGGGACGUCUUCUCUGCCCCCUGGAAUCCUACUUGUCCGAGAUGUGCCCUGUCCCACGGAGGAUCCCAGAGCUGUCCUUAAACAGCCAAAGAGCCCACCGAGCACGGGCUCCGCUCCGACCGUCGCUCCGACCGCCGGGACCUGUGUCCUCCGAGCAAGGGUCAAAACGCGGAGAGAACAGGACGGUUGGCCCUUUGGGCCAGCGGCUCACGAAGCGCCCUACGCGUGCCCCUGGGGUGCCGGGCAUCAGGACCAGGGACCCGCGCCCUGCACCGGCUCCGAAGCCCCGAGCCCAGCGCACAACCCGGCGCCGAGUCCCUGCUGGAAACCGCCCCCGUGGCUUUGGAGGGGAGCAGGUCUCCAUCAGCAGCCGGCGUCGCUGAGGGGGGUAAAACCGUGACCCUGACCUUGAGGCAGUGCCGUUGUCAACAGAGCCCCAGGGCUGUGCUCAGGGCCGCCUGUCUGGGCCGCACCAAGUUGCAAAAAAGUCUCAGGAAUAUUUACAGUUGGUCUUUAAACGGCAGUGGGUAUGAAUAAAAGAGCAAUAUCUCACAUCAUUAGUCCAUAAAUAUGCAGUUUAGUUUUAUUUGUCAAAUAAAAUAACCUGAGAUUGAGCUGCCUGGUUGAAAGACACAGACAUACAUACACCUGUCUCCUUGCGCUGCCUGCUUCCCCGACUGCACGUCUGCCGCCCUUCGGGAAUGUUCUUUGCCCGAUAUGUCCCCCGCCCCCGCCCCCCGUCUGGCGUUCCCGGGGAGGGUCGCUCAGGCAGGUUUCCUGCCCCAGCCUCUUGAGGGGAGCAGCUGAAUGCCCAGGCCCUUACGGUGGCCGCGGGCUCAGGCUCUGCAGGGGAGGGACAGUUGGAGUCCCCUCGCCCAUUUUCUUUAUUUAAGGGUGACUCAUUUCCAUUCUAUAAAAG
This 1804-nucleotide long non-coding RNA is filed under the name Canis lupus familiaris (dog). RNAcentral's name for it is "lncRNA (ENSCAFG00040004115.1)". Lineage: Eukaryota; Metazoa; Chordata; Mammalia; Carnivora; Canidae. The record is from RNAcentral.